CAAAAAUCCAUGCUCUGGAAGUCAGAGGGUGUAACUGAAGAUGAAAUAGUCAUUUGGAGAAAAUCAGAAUUAGAGACUGGUAUUAUUUGUUUUAGACAAUAUUUAUCUAUUUAUUUUUUCUAUUAAUUUGAUUGAAUUAAGGAGAACAAUAUUGAUUUUUUUACAUGCGUUUUGUCCAUUUAGACCUUGAGGCUUAAAGAGACGAGGCUUGCUUAAAGUCACACAGAUAGUAAGAGGCAGAUAAGAAAUCUCGCCUUGAGUUAUUUGAUUUCCAUGCCUAGGUCUCAUCCGCUGAGCAGUGCCUCCUCCCGAUUCAGCACGUCCCUGGUGCCGACUUUCUGCACGUGUUCACUUUGAGGCUGCAUUGUGGGCCUGCAAGAAAUGCAAAGCUGGUUGAGGCUUUAUUCAAUUCAAAUUCAAGCUGUUAAAUCGAGGCUCUCAGACUCCUGCUGCCUGGCCAGUGGAGAAAUUAACUUUCACAUAUGGCUUUGGGAUUUCUCUCUGUCAUCCUGGUCGACGUGUUCUCUCAUUUUUCUGAAGUCUGGGACCUCAACACAGACAUCUGGGUGAAGGCCUUGACAGCAGCGCUGGUGCAAAAUGAAUUGUCACAUCACACCCAACGUUCUCAACCUUUAGAAUCUGAAAGUAAGAAAAACACCUCAAACAAAACAUUAAAGAUUGAAUAAUUGAAGGCACUAUGCUUGGUGCUGAAGAAGGUCUAAGGAGGUCUACACCACAGAGGCUGCACCCACUCCUCAGCCUUGCUGAGCCACACCAUUCUCAUCUCUACAGCAUCCACCUCUCUUGGCUCUUGUAAGGAUUGAGACAUGCCACCAGGCUUACUAUUGAUUCUGAGUAAUCAGCACAGAUUUCUAAAAGAAACUUUAUGGGAUGCUGAGACAUGAAUAAAAACAACUUUAUUCCUUUGGAAAGGACAACCCACAUGCUAAGAAGAUGACACUACACGUUGUUAUAGCCCGAAAGGCCCUCUUUCCACAGGGGAGCAGUGAAAAGUAGAGGUUGCCCAUGUGGAUUCCCAAGUCAGAUAGAUGUGGAUUCAGAUCCCAGCUCUGCUGCUUGCUACCCAAGAGACCAUGGACUGUGGACUCUUUAGGUCUCAGGGUUUUUGUUUGUUGUCUGUUUUUCACUUCCAAAACCAGAAAAUGAGAAGAUAUUUUCCAUAAGAUGGCGGUGGAGAAGAGAACUUGAUGGACCUUGCUUGGACAAAAUGCCUUCACCGCUAACUCAGUCAGCUAUGGCGAUGGGUCAAGGACCUGGUGGUUUUACAGAGAAGACCCUUGGUCAAAUCUUUGUGAAUGAAGCAACCAUUCUGAUGUUCAAUAACAGGAAUGCACCAGUUUAUACCAAACUAUCUGUACUAUUGAGAACAGCAAAAAUAUCUGACCAAAAACACCAAAGAGUGACAUUUUAAAAGACAUCAAAGAACUCUCAAGGCUUCCAGAGUUGGAAAGAUCAAGAAAGAGAGAAUGCAACUUCAUUAAGUGACUCAACUCCAAAUAGGAGCAUUUCAAGAGUAUGUAUUUCAACAAAGAAGUAUUAGAAGAUGACAGUGUCCUUGCAGUAUCUUUUAGGGGCUAUCAGAACAUGAUUUCUGCUAUAUUCUAUCAUCGGAGCCUUAAUAAUGUUAACUAUAAUUCAAGGGAAGAUCAAAUAAACUUCACCUUUCAAGGAAAGGAGUAACAGAGAAUGUGCAGGCAUUUUUAUACACCAUUGACAUGGAAAAAAAAGUCCUUCAAGGAUUUCCA
RNAcentral lists this long non-coding RNA (1766 nucleotides) under Homo sapiens (human). RNAcentral describes it as "HSALNT0196864". Lineage: Eukaryota; Metazoa; Chordata; Mammalia; Primates; Hominidae. The record is from RNAcentral.